This 250-nucleotide ribosomal RNA is filed under the name uncultured bacterium. RNAcentral describes it as "partial 16S ribosomal RNA". It matches the Rfam family "Bacterial small subunit ribosomal RNA", at positions 505 to 754 of the family's 1533-position model. The record is from RNAcentral.
GUGCCAGCAGCCGCGGUAAUACGUAGGGCGCAAGCGUUGUCCGGAAUUAUUGGGCGUAAAGAGCUCGUAGGCGGCUUGUCACGUCGGGUGUGAAAGCCCGGGGCUUAACCCCGGGUCUGCAUCCGAUACGGGCAGGCUAGAGUGUGGUAGGGGAGAUCGGAAUUCCUGGUGUAGCGGUGAAAUGCGCAGAUAUCAGGAGGAACACCGGUGGCGAAGGCGGAUCUCUGGGCCAUUACUGACGCUGAGGAGC